This 780-nucleotide long non-coding RNA is filed under the name Olea europaea subsp. europaea. The record is from RNAcentral. Lineage: Eukaryota; Viridiplantae; Streptophyta; Magnoliopsida; Lamiales; Oleaceae.
ACCACAACCACCGCCACGACCAACAGUGACUCCCAAAUUGUGAGUUACAAUUGAGAGUCACAAUCACAAUUUUCAGGUCACGAGUCCAAUUAUUUGCUACAAAAUUAACCAAAUCGCCACAACCAACGCAAUCCACCACCACAACCACAACCAUCAUCACAAACCACUGCAAAAAUCAUUAUAAAACAAACCAUCGCCGAUUUGCAACUACAAUAACCACUAUCACCAUCAACACCAUAGUCAGCAACACUACAUUCUGUACCAAAAUUCAUAACCACUAUCUCAAAUUACACCACAAUCACCACAUUCAACAAAAAAUGCCCAAAUCACCCCGGAAAAUCAGAUCCAAAAAUAAAUGCACAACCACCGAAAAAUCAGAUCAAAAAUCAUUGUAUAACCAUUGGUUACAAACGCAAAUCUGGUCGCCCUGAUUGCAGCAACGACGUUGGCUGCUUCAAAUUGACACCGCGCCAUUGCAGUCUGUGGAUUAUUGUGGUGUUGCAGAUCAUGGCGACCAAAUGAAUGGCGACACGACACUAAUAUCGAACACCACGGCAUAGUGACCAGAUGAGUGGUAAAUAAUGUACUAACAUCGAACACCAGAUGAGUGGUAACAUUGAACACCAACACCGAUCAGUCCUCGCUGCGUGCUGCUGCCUGUUGCCGUCUAAUGAGGUGUGGAUCAGAGUUGAUGAGGGGAACGCAAGAAGGGCGAAACGGUGAGAGUGGGGUAGGUAAAGAGGGUGAGAAGAGAGAGGAGAGUGAUAAUUGAGUUUCCGG